GAGCUGGUUCCUGGGCCGCCUCAGAUAGCAGGAUGGUGUGUCAAGUAUCAUGGCCUGACAGGAAGGCUUUCCGGUUAUGACUGAGGCCAGCAUCUCACGUGUCCUGGCUACGCCAAAUCACUGCGGAUGCCGGAUGCCGAGGACCGGAGAGCCAACCGCUUUGAGGCGUGAGCUCUGUGGCGUGGCUCGAGUAAUCACUAGGCUCUGACGGCUACGGCGCCGUCGACCUGGUUGAAUAGCUGGGGCCUGGACGAGGGUGCCCUUAGUACGGUGACCAAUCGGUUACGUCAGAGGGGCGGUCGAACACGCUGCCGUCGCGUGGCUGCCGGCGGCCGCCCCCUCGCACGUGAAUCUCCUGGAGCGAGGACUGCGAGAGGCGGCCGCAUCAUCACCUGUGUCCGCGCUCAACACCGUGCCACGCACUAAUGGCGGAAGCCCGACUUUCUCCGAUGGAGGAGAGAAGCUGGACGCUGGCUGCCAGGCUGCUGGGGAGGGCGCUGGGUAAUGGGUCUGCCAUCAAGGGACCCCCUGCGCGCGACCGCCGAGGCCUCGGCACCGGCGCGCCUGUCUUCGGUCCUAGGCUGGAGAUUGCGAGGCCGCCAGGCCUGGGCGAGAGCGAGAAUCCCACCGUGGCAACAGACGGCUGGCGUCAUUUUCCGGUUGGACGUGUGCCCGAUCCGGGCUGGGGCCACGGCGGCGGAAAGGGAAAACGUGGCUACGCUGCACCUCGCGUUCCUGCCCCUGUGUGCUGCCCGGCUUUGGACGGACGGAUCUGCGGAGGGCGGAGUCUUCAGGCGCUGGGCGGGAGCCGUGCUGGUCUGGCUGGACGAAGAGGCCGAGGAACUGCGGGUCCCGGCCGGAGAGCUGUGCUAUAGCUACCGCGCGGAGAUUGUGGCGCUGUUGACCGGUCCGGAGACCCUACUCGGAAGAGACAGAGACCAGGACCUGCGGUCCGUACCUAUCUGCUAACUGUGCGGUGGUGGUGGUGUAGUGCAGCAUCUUUGGAUGGAUAGCUACAUUUCACGAUUAAAUAGCUGUUACGUUUCUGACAUUGUUCUGACAUUGACAUUGUCCUUUCUUUCGUUUGAUAAUGGUCUGUUGGCCGAAAUAUCACAAAUAAAAAGGUAACUUUGCAUUAAUUAUGCUAUAGACUCGAGGAAUAAGGUCAAUGUUUUUCUUUCAUAUAACUGUAUCAAUCAUGUUCCUCGCCAGAGCACUGGCAAACAUUAAUGCUGUUACGUUUCAGUGCAGGUGGCGUGACGAACAAUGUGGUAGUUUCUGUUGGCCACUUCUGCCGCCGCUGCUAUUUCCUACUCGAAGGCGGGCGCGCUGUUUGGCUGGGCCGGCAGGAUGUUCCCAUUAUGUGUCGACGACAAAGCGAGUAUAUUCAUGUUCUUUUAAUGCACAGAGGUCUGUUGUAUAUUUGAAGGUUUAUUUUAGGUUGACGAUUGCGAAGGGCAGAUUCAUCUUCUCUCUUUCAUUUGUGUUGCCACUUUAGGGU
Long non-coding RNA from Amphibalanus amphitrite, 1501 nucleotides. RefSeq lists it as uncharacterized. The record is from RefSeq and is a predicted model, not a curated record. NCBI's taxonomy places the organism in Eukaryota, Metazoa, Arthropoda, Thecostraca, Balanomorpha, Balanidae. The transcript has 2 exons.